CCAUCGUCUGAGAUGUGGGGAGCGCCUUUGCCCCGCCGCCCCGUCUGGUAUGUGGGGAGCGCCUCUGCCCGGCCGCGACCCCGUCUGGGAGGUGAGGAGCGUCUCUGCCCAGCCGCCCCAUCUGAGAAGGGAGGAGACCCUCCACCUGGCAACCGCCCCGUCUGAGAAGGUCAGACUGAGCCCCCAAAAAGCCACCACUGGAGUAUGACCUGCAAGCAAAACUUCUCACCCAACACAGUCAUCAACAUCAUUCUGCCUUUUCCCUUAUCUGUGCAAUGGACACCAGAAUGGAAUCAAGUCUACUGAGGACAUUUACAUGUUUGGCUGGUGUGGUUGUGAAGAGUGAGUGGAGGGCAAUUUGAAAUUCUGAUUAAAUUAUUCGUCUUCUGGGAUUUUUUAGAGCAAAAUCAUAGGCAUGGGCAAACAUACAUGGGGCUAUCCCUCGAAGCAUGUUUCCAGGAGUAAAACUGGAAAUGGUCUGGAAUGUCGACAAAAAGAGAAUUGGUUAAAUAAGCAAUGGUAUUUUCAUUUUAUAUCAUUCUAUGGAAACAUUCAAAUUACUUGGUAGAAAACUGUGUCAUGCUAAUAGAAAUGCGUUCACUGUACAUUAAGUGAAAACACAGCAUGUUUAAAAAAUUAUGUUAUACAACAGAAUGCUAGUAAAGCACUUAGCACUUUGCCUGGCUCUGGAAGUGUUAGCUAUCAUCAUCUUUAAAAGCAUAAUCUCAGAUUUGAGAGAAGCAGUUAUAAUUAAUGAAAGAAAAGAAUAUAUUACAAUUUCAAGUGGUUAUCAAUGAGUAGAAGGAUCAUGGAUUUGUGUGUCUUUCUUUGUGAUUUUGAAUUUUGUGAAUUGUCGGUCAUGAACUAGUACUUUUACUCUAGAGUAACAAAAGAAUCUUACUGAAAGCUGCUAACUUGUCCUACCACCAUCAGGGUCUUAGACAAAGCCCUGUGCUGGGAAGCAGGAGAUGGACCAACCCUUCCCUGUACCUCUGAGCUAUGAGUUUAGGUAUUUCCCUUCAGCUCUCUAGGCUUUGUUUACCCUUUUGGGGAUAAUAGCUGACUUUUUAAGGUUAGGGGAUACUUGCUUAUGCUGACAUUUGGGAGAAUUUUCAUUCAUAAUAAUAAAGAUAGUUCCACAUCAUGAGCCCCUAGUAGAUGCCGCCGUAUAUCCAUGAUAUCCUCAGCAGUAUCUGAUGGGUGAGGAGACUUAGGUUUGGAGACAUGAAACGACUUACCCAAGGUGACACAGACAGAAAGUGACCACCCCAGGACUUGGACAGGUCUAUCCAACCCCAGGACCAGUCAACUGCCUUAACAGAGGAAACUGGCCCCAGGGGAUUUUUCUUGUAAUCCAGCUGAAGCAUGUGACUUCUAUCCAGGAUGGGCUAAAAAGAAAAGUGUGCGAUGGGGUAGGGUGGGAGUUUGGGGUUAUGGCUUUCCGGAGCCUGAGAGAGUGAGGCACAAGUGGAUCUAGUGUCCCCAAUCAACCCCAGACCUCAGCAUCCACACGUGGGAUAGAGGAGCAGCCCAGGGCUGGUCCUGGGUGAGAUUUCUGCCUCAGAGGGAGAGGUCCUCAUUGCUGGCCUUUGGUGAGGAAGCAUUCUCAUGAAAGCCACUUGACCCUGAGGGCUGGGAAGCUGAGGGCACUGAGUCGGUGUCUGGGGAGGGUGUGGAGUACACCUGGGCUCUUUCCAUGGGCUCUGUGAGUUGCUGCCAAGCCCAGGGGACAGGCUUAUGCAGAUGUGUUCUAGGUAAAGCUGAACCAUGCCCCCGAAAUCCUCGUCCCAGAAAAUUGUCUGGGUCAGGAUUCUCUAAAUCCAACCGAUAUCACCUCACCUCGCUUAAUUCUAGACCAUAAUACAAAAAGUGAGCCGAUGCCCCUGCUGCGGGGAGCUUGCGCUCACGAACAAGGUCCGUUUUGGGGAAAGGCCUCACUCCUAUGUCCCAGCUGGACAGUAGCACGGGAGCCCCAUCUAGCUAUCAGUUCUGGCAGCCUUCCUUUGGAUUACAAGCUUAGGACAACCGCAAUGCUUCCACCCUAUGCUUGGUGCGAAAGUUUUCAAAACAGAGAGAAAUAGGUCUCUGCGCUGUUUCUUUUCCCCUCCGGCACCCCUUCGGUGGGAGACAGUUGAUGUCUUUUUGAGGUGGGGCUGAGUGGGCCCUCCCUGCUCCUCAGCAGCUCCAGCGACCACCCUAGACGUGCUAGGGAGAUGACACCCUGAGCCCUGCUCAGAAGGGGGCACCACUUGCGAGUAGGCCCUGACCAACAGGAGAGAGAGCCUUUGCCCAGACCACGCCUGUGUGUCUCCCCCAAAUUCACAGAAAGAAAAGGACGCGCAGUCGCUUAGCGAUUACUAAGCCCAGACACAGGAGAGGGAAUCCUAGCCCUGCUCCUCCCCCAGUCCUUCGCAGUCUCUCCUUGUCUGUAAGGAGGUGUGGCCUGACGGCUUUACAUCUGACUCUAAAACUCACAGGUCAAGGAAAAACUCUGUGAUGUGCGGUGGGGCGAUUUGCCGGCAGCCGGCGGCAUCCUCGCCUCGGGCCUGUUUAGAACCCAGAGCUGGCCUUCUUCAUUUGACACCUGUCUCACGCAGAAGAGCCGGCGGGGCCACAAGGGAGCUCCUGGUACAGACUGCUCUAUAAAGCAUAGACACUCGGGGAGGGGAGGGGCGGCAAAUUCCCACCUACAGGAGAGGUGCGCUCUCCGGGUUUGGUCCUUCUCCACACCCACCCUUUCUGGGCCAUGCUCCAGUUAAAACCACAUGUAAAAGCACAGGCUGUGGUGGCCCGGCAGAGAGAUGGAGAAGGGGGCUGGUGACCUCCCUCCCAGAGCCCAUGGGCAGGCCACAGGUUCACCUGCCGGAGUCAGACUUCACGGGCUCUCUCCAGCCCAGAAGAAAGGAGUGCAAAGCAAAUCUGCCGUAGAAAUAUUCUUAAAGUUAAGUCCUCAAAGCAAAUUCAGAAUUCAUUAUUUUGGGUACAUGUAAAUAUGUAUUUGCUGCUUAACCUGUGGUUCAACCUUUGCACUUUUAUACAUUCUAAAAUUUUUUAGUUUAUGCAAAAAUCAGUGUAAUCAGGAUCCUGUAGAAAUGUAAUUAAAUUUUGUUAAGUUUACAAGGUUUUGUUUUUCUCAGAUCUAAACUUCCUGAGUCACACUCUGCAUUUGAGACUCAGAAUCCCCUGUUUCUAAAUGGCAUAUUUAGGUAAAUUGAAAAUAACGACAAUGCAUCUAUUCAACAUUAAGAAAUGCACAAUCUUUUUACAAAGCAAAAUUUGUCAUAUAUACCACAUAUGAAAUGUCACGAAACUCAGACAACUGUUUUGCUUUUAACUAAGCUGUUAUUACAGCGUGAGCUACAAAGCUAUAUAUCUUCAAUUCAGCAAGAGUUACAACACAGUGCAAUUGUGAUAUCUGACAAAUAAUUACUCACUCUGUUUUAAAUAUUAAAGUGCAUUACCUAUCACGCAAAUCACAUGAAUCUGAUUUUAAUCCACAAUUGAAAUCUUGACAUUGAGGACAGAAUUUAAUAUAUUUUCAGUCUUCAACUGUUUAAAGAUCAGAUUUCUAAGUGUCACAAUAGUUUUUUAAGAGGCCAUAUGAAAAUUACAGAAUCUUCACAUAAUCAUUCAGUUGUUAACAUUACUGUGAGCAGCAGCAUCUCAGGGCUCACACACAGCCACACCGGGGAGUUAAUGCGGUCUGCCUUUGUUAGAGGCACUGGGGCUCGCAUUGUGAGCAUCUCGUGCUGAGAUCACCUGCUGAGAUUAAAGCAAAUUAAAUUCCCUGGGAAAAGCGAUUUUUGAAAAAUUAUAUAGAAGGAAGACUACUGUAAACUGGUGUACAUUUUCCUCCUUCUCUCACUCAAAAGUCCAUGGGGGGCCGGGUGAGGUGGCUCAUGCCUGCGAUCCCAGCACUUUGGGAGGCUGAGGUGGUCAGGAGUUUGAGACCAGCCCGGCCAACAUGGUGAAACCUCAUCUCUACUAAAAAUGCAAAAAUUAGCCAGCCGUGGUGGUGCACAUCUAUAAUCCCAGCUACUUGGGAAGCUGAGGCAGGAGAAUUACUUAAACCUGGGAGAUGGAGGUUUCAGUGAGCCGAGAUUGCACUAAUGCACUCCAGCCUGGGCAGUAGAGCCCUAUUCCGUCUCAAAAACAAAACAAAACAAAACAAAACAAAACAACCUGUUUUUUUUUUUAAGUCCAUGGGGGUGAGGGAGGGAAAUGUAGAACAUGCACAAUUUCAAAGAUAAAAGUGCUUUAUUAGAAUCAAGAAAAUGUCCUCAUUGCAGAUGAUCUGGCAAGUAAGCCUGAAGGCAGCUGUGUUUGUGGUGACCGUCACCCUUUCAUCUGCUUCCGUGUCCACUGCUCCUGGAGGCAGAAACCUGACUAUUCCCACUUUUAUUGCAUUCCUCCUUCUCUGGUGCCAGCUCACCCACCAGUCCUGGACACUGAUGUUUUGUGACCGAUGGCACUGUUUCUAAUUCUAACCUCCCUCAGCUCCCCACUGCCCUGCCCCACGAGCUGUCACCCACCACUUGAUCUGAACCUGAGACCACUGCUAUCUCCAGGAACUCGCUUGGUGGAUGAGAAGCAAGUCUGCCUAGCACACUGGGUCCAGGUGACAGAGGCUUAAUCACAAGAAUGCGGACAAGCCGAUGAUGAAGUCUUUUUGUGGCAAACAUUGACAGGACCUUUCAAAUUUUCGAAAAGGAGUAAUGAAAAUCAAAAGCUCAAACUAAAACUGUCUUCUGUAGAGAGACUGAUAUGGGAAGGAAGUCCCUUCAGUGUGUGUCUGGAGAGACAGGGCGUGCCCUGUCCUGGUCCCCACCCUACAUACCUUGAUGAGCGUCUCCUCGGCUCACACUACCGUGACAAGCAGUGCACAGACGCGGAAUCCCAGCCUAGACCCGUGACCCAGGCGAAAAUAGGCACACGCCGGCCUGGAGCUCCACACAGCCUGGUUUUUGUCACUGGAAUGCUCCAUGGGGUUCUGUGAGUUGUUACAUUUUGCCUCACUUUCUGAAAAUGAUUUUUAUUUUAAAGGCGGAAGGAAAAAAAGCAUAUUAUUUUAAAAGGAUAGUGGUGAAUCUUCUGAAGUAAUAAUUCUUGCCCAAAGUGAUAAUCACUCCUGAUUUUUUUAGUUUUAUCGGUUUGAAAUCUCUAACAUUAGAUUUUCUUAAAUCGUGUUGUGGUGAAUAAUUUCAAGCUGGUAGACCAGCAAGGAGGACCAUGAGGCGGGGACCUGAGCUCUGAAAAUAGGACCUGUAGUUAUAGUAGUCUUCAUAAGAAAAUUAGUUUACAUCUAGAUCUUUACUGCCUACUGCAGUGUCUACCAGCCAUGUGUGCCUUCUUAAAUUAAAGUCACUUAAAACUAAAUAAUAUUCAGAAUUCAGUCCCUCAGUUGCACUAGUCACAGUUCAAAUGCUCAAUUGCCACAGUGAUCAAAUAAUAAUAAAUAAUAAUACAGUUGGUAGAGCUUUUUAAAUAAGUUACCAUCUAAAUUGGGCAGUUCUAUACUAAAUAUUUGCCAACUAACAUUAUAUAUUCCAAAAUAUGUACAGUAACAUUGAAAUUUUAAAACCUCCCUACUUAGUGAAUUGUGUACUUUUAAAACUAUAUAAAAACACAAGUUUGGAAUGAUUCAGUAGGUGUUUGUUUGGCGUGAUUCUCAUUAUUUUGUUUCAUAUCUCUUACAGAAAAAAGCAAGCUUGAUUUUCCAUAUCUUCAGUAGUUUCUCAUUGCCAAAAUCUAAAUGUGAACGCAUAGAUUAGAUGUCUGCACUAAUGUGUGUACACACACACACAACCACACACACAUUACUGAAGUACACUUGUAUUAGAUGUCACUUGCUGUAAGGAUUAUUAUUCUUGGACUUCAAGGUCAAUGAGUCAGCUGAUUGCUUUAUUGAAAUGGACUUUCCAAAUCCAUCACUUUCAGUGAUAUCUGUCAUCAAAUAUAAAGUGUAGGUCAUCUUCUUUAAAAAUCUUGCAAACUUGGCAGACUGGAAAAUAGCCAGUCUAUGUCUUUUCUCACUCAGUGAAACUAAGAAAGCAACUGCCUUCCAUUAAAAAAAAAAAAUCCUAUUUUUACUGAUUAGCUCACUUUAAGAAUUUCUUCAGAUUAUGUAUAAUUUCAGAUGUCUUCUAUGCUUUCUUUGAAAAAAAUAUUGUUUGAGACUCAUGAAAUAAUCUCGUAUCAAGAGGACCAGUGCCCCACUGGCCCAGUGGAGGGGGAGUGAGAUGGAAGUGGAGGUGGAGCCAUCCUCUGUCCACACCUUUUUUUUUUUUUUGAGACGGAGUCUGGGUCUGUCGCCCAGGCUGGAGUGCAGUGAUGCGAUCUCGGCUCACUGCAAGCUCUGCCUCCUGGGUUCACGCCAUUCUCCUGCCUCAGCCUCCCGAGUAGCUGGGACUACAGGCGCCCGCCACCACACCCGGCUAAUUUUUUGUAUUUUUAGUAGAGACGGGGUUUCACCAUGUUAGCCAGGAUGGUCUCUAUCUCCUGAUGUCGUGAUCCGCCCGCCUCAGCCUCCCAACGUGCUGGGAUUAUAGGCGUGAGCCACCGUGCCCGGCCUGUCCACACCUUUAAUGCAGUUGACUUAAGUUGUGUUCAGGUGUUUAAGCAGAAGCAAGGAAUCUGGCUCCAACAUUGGUGGAAAAUAGCCUUCUAUUUAGAGGCAAUACAACAAAGAAAUUCUGAGCAUCUAUGUCUUCCAGGAAUUGCAGUUGGUGUGAAUAUCAUGUAGUUGGGCCUCAGAGACAAACACCAGGUUAAUCCUCAAGGACAGACAGGAAGCAAGUGUGUCUAGUAGUAAAGAGGGAGGUUCUAGGCUUGGAUGGACCAGCCACUUAACAGGUGGGAUAUCGUGGCAUGUUACUUCAUCUUUCAAUCCCUAAUUUCCUCAUCUGUGAGAGGGAGAUAAUAAAAGUACCUAAAUGUCACUGUGUCAUUGUAAAGAUGAAAAGAAUUCACUUAUGUAAAACGCCUAUGACAGUGCCUGGAACAGCAAAUACUCAAUACAUUGUGCUGUUUGCUGUGACUUUUAAAUAUAGUGUCAUUACUUUUUGUCAUUCAUUUUAUUUUUUAAUUCUUUAUUGAUAAAAAUACAUGUACAUAUUUUAGGGAUGCAUGUGAUAAUUUCAUACAUUCAUAAAAUCAAAUCAUGGUAACUGGCAUAUCCAUCACCUAAACAUUUAUCUUUUCUUUAUGCUAGGAACACUUCAAGUAUUCUCUUCUAGUUAUUUUGAAAUGUACAACUGGUUAAUGUUAACUGUGGCAUCCUACUCAUCUGAACACCAGGUCUCAUUUCUUCCAUCUCACUGUAUAUUUGCACACAUUAAUCUAGUUGUGUCAUUAUUAUUUCCACAAGCUCAUCACUCUGCCAUGUGUGGAGUUUCCCUGCCCCUUCUCAAAAAUGCGAGAAAGACACACUGGUGAGGUCUGGCAAGGGCCACACACUUUGGCAGGAUAGAGACGGGUUCUGGACUUUUGCCUACCCCUCUUCAUAGCUUGCCAGAUAUGACAAAGAAUCACAAUGACUACUGUGUCUGUCAAAUUUUGUACUGAUAUGUUAGGCACAAAAACAUAAUACAAUCUGUAUUUAAAUGCAAUGGCUUCUGAAAUGCAACCUUGAUUAUUAAGCCAAUAAAUUGUUGAAGAGUUUUGGCCCAGACAUAGUGAAAGUGUGUUAAGCUCCAGGGAUGUGUACAACACAGGAUUAGGAGACACAAAAGAAGGGUUAUAAGAAUCACUCUCAAUUUGCAUGUGUGAACACUCUCCUUUUAAAUAGUAGAAUUAAUACUACCAAAUAUCAUCUUUGUGGAUGUGAAGAAUAAAUAAGUCAAUACACAUAAAGUCGUUAGCAUGGCCCCUGAAACAAAUUGAGUGCAGAGUGUUAGCCCUUAUAGUGAUAAUUAUUAUUCAACUAUAACAAGGAUUUCUUAUAGCCAGUAGUAAUUACAAAUUAUUCAAACUUAAGGCUGGGUGUGGUGGUGCGCACCUGUAGUCCCAGCUACUCGGGAAGCUGAGGCAGGAAAAUCGCUUGAACCCGGGAGGCGGAGGUUGUAGUAAGCCAAGAUUGUGCCACUGCACUCGACUCUGGGUGACAGCGAGACUCCAUCUGAAGAAGGAAAAAAAAAAGAAAAGAAAAAAAUUAUUCGAACCUAGAAAGCAAAUACUAGACAAAGCCUUUCACAUUUCAAGCUUUUCCUUGUCAGUGAAAAUCUGCCCAAGAACAAAGUUCUGGACAAGGAAUCACGACUCCAAGUUCAUGUUCUGGGUCUGCCGCUCCCUGGCUAAUGACUUUGCCCGGUCAGAGCUUGUCCGGGGCCUGGGCUUCCUGGUCAGUGAAGUGAAUGCUUGCAAAGUCCUUUCCAGCUUAAGAAUCUGGACGCUACCAGUACAUCUAACAGGUUUAUUUAAAAUGAAAAAUUCUGAGCAUGUUAUGUUUUAUGUUGAAAAGUACACAUAAAAUAGCUGACUUUUAAAAAUAAAUAUUUUUUAUUUAUGUAAAUCCAUGUCUAUACAACUGCAAACUUUUGAUCUCUAAGUUCUUUUUUGGAACACACGCUUUGAUGGAUUUCAAUAAACAUGAAUACAUUUUUUAAAAUCUUACAUUUAUAAAGUUUACAAAGCACCUAAAU
This 8639-nucleotide long non-coding RNA is filed under the name Homo sapiens (human). Its description in RNAcentral is "HSALNT0198896". The record is from RNAcentral. Lineage: Eukaryota; Metazoa; Chordata; Mammalia; Primates; Hominidae.